This 496-nucleotide ribosomal RNA is filed under the name uncultured bacterium. Its description in RNAcentral is "partial 16S ribosomal RNA". It matches the Rfam family "Bacterial small subunit ribosomal RNA", at positions 28 to 506 of the family's 1533-position model. The record is from RNAcentral.
GAUGAACGCUGGCGGCGUGCCUAAUACAUGCAAGUCGAGCGAACGGACGAGAAGCUUGCUUCUCUGAUGUUAGCGGCGGACGGGUGAGUAACACGUGGAUAACCUACCUAUAAGACUGGGAUAACUUCGGGAAACCGGAGCUAAUACCGGAUAAUAUUUUGAACCGCAUGGUUCAAAAGUGAAAGACGGUCUUGCUGUCACUUAUAGAUGGAUCCGCGCUGCAUUAGCUAGUUGGUAAGGUAACGGCUUACCAAGGCAACGAUGCAUAGCCGACCUGAGAGGGGGAUGGGCCACACGGGAACUGAGACAGGGGCCGGACCCCCCGGGGGGGCACAGGGGGGGAAUCUUCCGCAAGGGGGGAAAGCCGGACGGAGCAAAGCCGCGUGAGUAUUAAAGGUCUUCGGUUCGUAAAACUUUUUUAUUAGGAAAAAACAUAUGUGAAAGUAACUGUGCACCUCUGGACGGGCCCUAAUGAGAAAGCCAGGGCUAACUACGU